UCCCUGGUGGUAGUGGUUAAGACUCUGCAUUUCCACUGCAUGGGACACAGGUUCGAUACCUGAUCAGGGAA
Molecule: transfer RNA, 71 nt
Filed under: Bos taurus (domestic cattle)
Lineage: Eukaryota; Metazoa; Chordata; Mammalia; Artiodactyla; Bovidae
Also listed under: 5 other names
Rfam family: tRNA
About the family: Transfer RNA (tRNA) molecules are approximately 80 nucleotides in length. Their secondary structure includes four short double-helical elements and three loops (D, anti-codon, and T loops).
Source: Rfam by way of RNAcentral